Molecule: ribosomal RNA, 496 nt
Filed under: uncultured bacterium
Lineage: Bacteria
Description: partial 16S ribosomal RNA
Rfam family: Bacterial small subunit ribosomal RNA
Source: RNAcentral
GAUGAACGCUGGCGGCGUGCCUAAUACAUGCAAGUCGAGCGAACAGACGAGGAGCUUGCUCCUCUGACGUUAGCGGCGGACGGGUGAGUAACACGUGGAUAACCUACCUAUAAGACUGGGAUAACUUCGGGAAACCGGAGCUAAUACCGGAUAAUAUAUUGAACCGCAUGGUUCAAUAGUGAAAGACGGUUUUGCUGUCACUUAUAGAUGGAUCCGCGCCGCAUUAGCUAGUUGGUAAGGUAACGGCUUACCAAGGCGACGAUGCGUAGCCGACCUGAGAGGGUGAUCGGCCACAAUGGAACGGAGACACGGGCCAGACUCCUACGGGAGGCAGCAGUAGGGAAUCUUCCGCAAGGGGCGAAAGCCUGACGGGGCAACGCCGGGGGAGGGAUGAAGGUUUUCGGAUUGUAAAACUCUUUUAUUAGGGAAGAAAAAAUGUGUAAGUAAAUAUGCACGUCUUGACGGUACCUAAUCAGAAAGCCACGGCUAAAUACGU